Molecule: small nucleolar RNA, 219 nt
Filed under: Hordeum vulgare subsp. vulgare (domesticated barley)
Lineage: Eukaryota; Viridiplantae; Streptophyta; Magnoliopsida; Poales; Poaceae
Description: Plant small nucleolar RNA U3
Rfam family: Plant small nucleolar RNA U3
About the family: Small nucleolar RNAs (snoRNAs) are involved in the processing and modification of rRNA in the nucleolus. There are two main classes of snoRNAs: the box C/D class, and the box H/ACA class.
Source: Rfam by way of RNAcentral
ACGACCUUACUUGAACAGGAUCUGUUCUAUAGGCUCGUACCGCUGCAUCCUUUACCAAUAAGGAGGCAAGCACUUCAGUCUGGUUGAUGCAUUCUGACCUCUGGGCCAGAGCGUGAUUAACGGCCAGGAUUUCCCUGAUGGGGCAAUCCGACGGCUGUAGAGGAUCGUUCCUGCCUGGCUCACACCUGGUAGGGUGGCCCAGAGGUUGUCUGAUAGACU